RNAcentral lists this ribosomal RNA (464 nucleotides) under uncultured bacterium. Its description in RNAcentral is "partial 16S ribosomal RNA". It matches the Rfam family "Bacterial small subunit ribosomal RNA", at positions 28 to 506 of the family's 1533-position model. The record is from RNAcentral.
GACGAACGCUGGCGGCGUGCUUAACACAUGCAAGUCGAGCGGUAAGGCCCCUUCGGGGGUACACGAGCGGCGAACGGGUGCGUAACACGUGAGCAAUCUGCCCAUCACAUCGGGAUAACCCCGGGAAACCGAAGCUAAUACCGAAUACGACCACCUCCGGCAUCGGAUGGUGGUGGAAAGUUCCGGCGGUGAUGGAUGAGCUCGCGGCCUAUCAGCUUGUUGGUGGGGUAACGGCCCACCAAGGCUUCGACGGGUAGCCGGCCUGAGAGGGUGACCGGCCACACUGGGACUGAGACACGGCCCAGACUCCUACGGGAGGCAGCAGUGGGGAAUAUUGGACAAUGGGCGAAAGCCUGAUCCAGCAACGCCGCGUGAGGGAUGACGGCCUUCGGGUUGUAAACCUCUUUCAGCAGGGACGAAGCGCAAGUGACGGUACCUGCAGAAGAAGCACCGGCCAACUACGU